CCUACGGGCGGCAGCAGUGAGGAAUAUUGGUCAAUGGACGAGAGUCUGAACCAGCCAAGUAGCGUGAAGGAUGACUGCCCUAUGGGUUGUAAACUUCUUUUAUAUGGGAAUAAAAUGUUCCACGUGUGGGAUUUUGUAUGUACCAUAUGAAUAAGGAUCGGCUAACUCCGUGCCAGCAGCCGCGGUAAUACGGAGGAUCCGAGCGUUAUCCGGAUUUAUUGGGUUUAAAGUGAGCGUAGGUGGAUUGUUAAGUCAGUUGUGAAAGUUUGCGGCUCAACCGUAAAAUUGCAGUUGAAACUGGCAGUCUUGAGUACAGUAGAGGUGGGCGGAAUUCGUGGUGUAGCGGUGAAAUGCUUAGAUAUCACGAAGAACUCCGAUUGCGAAGGCAGUUCACUGGACUGCAACUGACACUGAGGCUCGAAAGUGUGGGUAUCAAACAGGAUUAGAUACCCGGGUAGUC
Molecule: ribosomal RNA, 460 nt
Filed under: uncultured bacterium
Lineage: Bacteria
Description: partial 16S ribosomal RNA
Rfam family: Bacterial small subunit ribosomal RNA
Source: RNAcentral